Molecule: ribosomal RNA, 457 nt
Filed under: uncultured bacterium
Lineage: Bacteria
Description: bacterial SSU rRNA
Rfam family: Bacterial small subunit ribosomal RNA
Source: RNAcentral
AAUGAACGCUGGCGGCAUGCCUAACACAUGCAAGUCGAACGGAAAAUACUUCGGUAUUUUUAGUGGCAAACGAGUGAGUAACAUGUAGGAAUCUACCAUUCGGAGGGGGAUAACUGCGAGAAAUUGCAGCUAAUACCGCAUACUCUUGGCGACAAGGAAAUGAUUUAUCGCCGAAUGAUGAGCCUGCACCAGAUUAGGUAGUUGGUGGGGUAAUGGCCCACCAAGCCCAAGAUCUGUAGCUGGUCUGAGAGGAUGAUCAGCCACGCUGGGACUGAGAACGGCCCAGACUCCUACGGGAGGCAGCAGUGGGGAAUAUUGGACAAUGGGGGCAACCCUGAUCCAGCAAUGCCGCGUGAAUGAAGAAGGCCUUAGGGUUGUAAAGUUCUUUCGCCUGGGAAGAUAAUGACUGUACCAGGAGAAGAAGUCCGGCUAACUCUGUGCCAGCAGCCGCGGUAAU